CGUGUAGGCGGCCAGAUAAGUCAGAUGUGAAAGCCCGGGGCUCAACCCCGGAAGUGCAUUUGAAACUGUUUGGCUUGAGUGCGGGAGAGGAAAGCGGAAUUCCCAGUGUAGAGGUGAAAUUCGUAGAUAUUGGGAGGAACACCGGUGGCGAAGGCGGCUUUCUGGACCGACACUGACGCUGAGGCGCGAAAGCGUGGGGAGCAAACA
Molecule: ribosomal RNA, 207 nt
Filed under: uncultured delta proteobacterium
Lineage: Bacteria; Deltaproteobacteria
Description: partial 16S ribosomal RNA
Rfam family: Bacterial small subunit ribosomal RNA
Source: RNAcentral